Lolium perenne is the source of this 3058-nucleotide long non-coding RNA. RefSeq lists it as uncharacterized. Lineage: Eukaryota; Viridiplantae; Streptophyta; Magnoliopsida; Poales; Poaceae. The record is from RefSeq and is a predicted model, not a curated record.
CUCAGCCAGGAAACCCUGCCCCCUUCUCUCUCCCCCGCCCGUCGCACAACCCAAUCCACCUCCUCCCCCGUGCGCUUCAAUCUCGAGGAAAGCCGCCGCGUCCCGCGACCGGCGGUGCCAUCGCGUGCAAUCGUCGCCCGGGAGAACCCAAUCGACCGCCAGCGCCCCUCUGGUCAGGCAGCAACCAGCCAGGACCUCGCCAGCCGCCAGCGCCCCUCCGGCCGGCGGGAUGGAAGCUGCAGCGGAACAAGGCGAUGGCGCAGCCUGGCGCCCGGCGGCGGGAUGCGCCGCUGGUUCGCGAGCGUAUCGGCUUCCUCGACCGGUCCUCCUGGCGGCGGGGGCGGUUGGGGAACGCCGAUGGAGAAGGGUUGGAGGCCGGAGCGGAAGAAGGGAACAGCACGGCGAGAUCCAGGCGGCGGGACGCGCCUCUGCUUAUCGAGCGUCUCGGAUUCCUUGACUGAUCCUCUUGGUGGCGUGGGGGAGUAGACCGGACCCUCCUCCUCUUCGGCGUCGCGUUGAGGACCCUAAUCCGCGGAGGAUGGCUGCCCAAGCCAUGUGAGCCGACCAGUGCGGCAGGCCGUGGUGAGCAAGACGCCUCUCCCCAGCCGGCUGGGUCAGGUAAAGGGGAGAUGCAUUUACAUAUCUGCUUUACUUGCUGCAGCCCGUUCAAGUUCUUUUAUCUGAAUAAAGGAUCACAUGAUAGUCCGGGUUCAGACUUCAUCGCAUAAUCUCAAUCAACUUUUGGCCAGAUGGUGUUGUGUAUCGAGUAACAACAGCUAGAACGAUAGAGUAGGAGGGGGAUCAACUUUCGUUGGUGAUCUCCACACAAAUGUAACAUCAAGUUAAUUUUAUUCACUAUGCUGGGAGUGUUUUGAAGCACAAGCUGGAGCAGACAGUUGGUGUUAAUUUCCACAAUGUUUAAUUUUAUCUCACUUGGUUUUAAUGCACCUUUAUCUUGACACCAUUGUCUUAUUAGAGAGCAUAAGUCAUUUGCCCUGAUAUCUGUCAUUAACUAAAUGCCAAUCUUCUUCCUGUCAACAUAUGUACUCUCCCAUCACUUUGGUCAUCCAUAUCUCUUUCCUCCCUCACCCUAGAUCUCUCCCGAUGUACUACUACCACAAACAAUUCUCUGACUAUAUUCACUUCAUGGGAAUGCCACUGCCUACGAGUGGGAGUCCAAUUAUAUUGCCUCAGCUCACAGUCUGAUUUUUAUUGUGUGUUUGUGUGCAUUUGGAAGUGGAUGGAAAUGAAGUUUUGAUUCUGAAUCUCGUAGUUGUUGUACCACAUUUUUUAUUCUGAAUCUCAGCAAAUUCUCCCUGAUUUUUAGAUUUCCUCCCUGUUUUGCUACGCUCUACAAUAUGGGUUCAUCUGUAUUCUGUGAUUGAAUAGGGUCAACAGAUCGGUCUGGUGCUAAAUGCUUGAUAUGGAACUAAAUAAACACCUUGUGGGUAAAGUCACAGUUAAUAGUUCAGAUGCCAGCCCAGAACUGAGGAGCAGCAGGGACGAGCGCGGCUGCAGCGAUUGACGCCGUGAAGGCGUACAGCAGGGACGAGCGCAUCCUCGACGCUACAGCGAUUGACGCCGUGAAGGCGUACGCCGGCGUGGACUAGCAAGGCUGCUGCGCAUCAGAUGGCGUUGAGGAAUGAUUUGAGCUCCUCCACAUUGGGUCCAAGGAAUAUUGAAGAUCUCAGGAGCUUGCACGUAUGUCAGAUUUGAGAUGGAAAGAAGCCCUCAGAGUACAUUAAUUCAUCACUGAGUUCGGGAUUUUGAAUGUCACAUGUUAUCGUGAAAUUUAGAUGUCACACAUUAUCAUGGACUCGGCUGCGGUCGAGCCCAAGCGCACCCGUGCGGACCGGGAGCUCUAUCUAGGUGGUGAUGCAUGUGUCGCCCUGUCUUGUACCCAGGGGAGUGUCCAUGGGUGUGUGUUGGAGGAUGCAUUGCCCCCUUCGGCGAACCGUGAAUUAACACCACCACAGCACCGCCAGGCUGCUCCCGGCCAUUCGACAAGCUAGGGCGAUAUUACAGGUUAUGAAAUUUGGUCCUCCAGUGAUUUUAUGCUUCACGGUUGUUUCUAUGGCUUUGAUUGUGGAUAAAUUUAUAUGAUGUACUGCUUUGCAAUGCAGAAGCUUUGGUUGUCCAGUGAUUGGUCUAUCGUCUAAUUGAAGCACAUGGUGGCAUAUUUGGGCUUGGUUUACCAUUAUUAGGAGUUCCGCUUCAUCACCUAUAAUAUCAGAAUUCCUCGGUUCCAUGUUUCAAGGUGUCAACAAGCAGAGGUAUUAACUGCGCUGGCAGAUGAUAAUGCUUUAAUGGAAGUAGAAGCGUCCAUUAGUGCAGCUCGGUUCAUUGGAUCCACAUUGACACAAUGAUGCGAGAACACGUUUCUUUCUUGGAAUGGAAAAUCUACAUGUACUUCGCAAAGGUAGGUGUGUAUUCCAGCAAGAGAUAGAUCAACAGAGAAAAUUUAGAUUAGAAUGGGUUGAGUAGAUUUCUAUUGUUAAUCUUAUAGCAUUUGAUGCUUGCUCUUGGGAUUUUCUGAAGAACAAUAUGCAGUGGCAGGAGCAUUCAGAAAAACCAGCUAUAUCAGGGCCAUCAUAGAAUCUUCGGGCUACAAGCAAGGGAUGCUAUGUAAGCUGGAAGAUGGCCUAAAUGUGCUAUAUUUUCUAACAGUAUGGAGAGUUGUGGCAAGUGGAGUAGACAAGCUGAUAUUCACUAGAAUUUCCCUGGAAACCCAAUGUUUAGUAAUGGUGGGGCGGAAAGGAUUCAUGCUAAUUGGACUGUUCCCUUUAUUGUUUUUCAAGCAUGGUGUUUGAGGUCUGAAGUUUUCUUUCCAAGAUUGUACGAGUGGUUGAAAUUGCUAAAGGUUAAUGAGAAGCAACUACUAGAGAUAGAAUGACUAAUGAAAAAUUCAGCUGAUGGAGGAUGGUGUUAGUACUGACAGGUGCUGAGGCUGAAAAGAUAAUUUUAAAAAAAGGGUGUAUGAUAUACAAAUAUCAGGCUUCAAAGUUGGAAACGAAUUGUCAAAUUGGAAUGAAAUAUACAUUGUUUUACAUCAUACAAA